AUUUCUCUGAGAUGUUUGCAAGCGGGCCAGUCCCCUGAGCCGAUAUUUCAUACCACAAGAAUGUGGCGCUCCACGGUUGGUGAGCAUGCUCGGUUCGUCCGAGAAGCCUUAAAACUGUGACGACACAUUCACCUUGAACCAAGGGUUCAAGGGUUACAGCCUGCGGCGGCAUCUCGGAGAUUCC
This 184-nucleotide non-coding RNA is filed under the name Citrobacter freundii. RNAcentral's name for it is "6S / SsrS RNA". It matches the Rfam family "6S / SsrS RNA". From Rfam's summary of the family: E. coli 6S RNA was the first non coding RNA to be sequenced, but its function was unknown until recently. It consists of 184 nucleotides that fold into an extended hairpin structure with a large single-stranded internal bulge. Lineage: Bacteria; Pseudomonadati; Pseudomonadota; Gammaproteobacteria; Enterobacterales; Enterobacteriaceae. The record is from Rfam by way of RNAcentral. RNAcentral also lists the same sequence under 119 other names.